AGAACGAACGCUGGCGGCAUGCCUAAUACAUGCAAGUCGAACGAACACUUCGGUGUUAGUGGCGCACGGGUGCGUAACGCGUGGGAAUCUGCCCUUGGGUUCGGAAUAACAGUUGGAAACGACUGCUAAUACCGGAUGAUGACGAAAGUCCAAAGAUUUAUCGCCCAGGGAUGAGCCCGCGUAGGAUUAGCUAGUUGGUGAGGUAAAGGCUCACCAAGGCGACGAUCCUUAGCUGGUCUGAGAGGAUGAUCAGCCACACUGGGACUGAGACACGGCCCAGACUCCUACGGGAGCAGCAGUAGGGAAUAUGGACAAUGGGCGCAAGCCUGAUCAGCAAUGCCGCGUGAGUGAUGAAGGCCUUAGGGUUGUAAAGCUCUUUACCCGAGAUGAUAAUGACAGUAUCGGAGAAUAAGCCCUGGCUAACUCCGCGCCACGCACGCCGC
Molecule: ribosomal RNA, 443 nt
Filed under: uncultured soil bacterium
Lineage: Bacteria
Description: bacterial SSU rRNA
Rfam family: Bacterial small subunit ribosomal RNA
Source: RNAcentral